AACUCUCUGCAUAUAACAUACUUCAUCAGAGAAGCGGGGGCUGAGUUGGUUUUAUAUAUCCCUUCUAAUCGCCAUUCGGGUCAUCAUAAAUUACAGCUCUCAGCUGCGUGGGAACAGAGAGGAAGGAGUGAUCAGCUCUUGAGAAGAGGGUGUUUUUGUAGUUUGCUGUAAUUUCUCUUAGGUGUGAGAGAAGAAGGCAGCACAGCAAGUAGGUUUAAUCAACGGGUUUAAGAGUUAACAAGGAGGGUGCCGUCUGGCUAGGUUUCGAUAUCACCAUUGGAGGUAGUUCCGGAAGAAGGAACUAGGCUUGGUUGAUUUGAAGUGUUGAUAUUGAAGUUGCUAGACUUGUGAAAGGUAAUCAGGGUGAUAUGGGAUGAGUGAGAGUGACACAAGACUUUGGAGGCUGUAGCAUCCCAGUAUUUUAAGGAGAAGGUAGUAGCCGAGGUAAAGAAACGGCUAAAUAGAAGUGUUUUGAAGAAGCAUUUGGGUAAGAGCUAUGUUGUGUGGAUUGAAAGUAUUUGAUGAUUAGAUAUCCCUUUUGGUCCAUGGGCUCCCAAGUACCCUAAAAACUCGUAUUUUUGUAAAUGAAAUGAUGAAGUAUAGGGUAUGGUCUUGUUAUGUAUUUUGUUAAACUUAAACUCAACUUUGGUAUUGUAAGUUUAGUGUCAAAGUGCUAAACCUUACGUUGGUAAAAUGGGUAAGACGACCCGUCAUGGUGACGAAUUGUGUUUUUGAGGAA
Erigeron canadensis is the source of this 739-nucleotide long non-coding RNA. RefSeq lists it as uncharacterized. The transcript is spliced from 5 exons. NCBI's taxonomy places the organism in Eukaryota, Viridiplantae, Streptophyta, Magnoliopsida, Asterales, Asteraceae. The record is from RefSeq and is a predicted model, not a curated record.